This 1124-nucleotide ribosomal RNA is filed under the name Pseudomonas sp. RNAcentral describes it as "bacterial SSU rRNA". It matches the Rfam family "Bacterial small subunit ribosomal RNA", at positions 36 to 1180 of the family's 1533-position model. Lineage: Bacteria; Pseudomonadati; Pseudomonadota; Gammaproteobacteria; Pseudomonadales; Pseudomonadaceae. The record is from RNAcentral.
CUGGCGGCAGGCCUACACAUGCAGUCGAGCGGUAGAGAGAAGCUUGCUUCUCUUGAGAGCGGCGGACGGGUGAGUAAUGCCUAGGAAUCUGCCUGGUAGUGGGGGAUAACGUUCGGAAACGGACGCUAAUACCGCAUACGUCCUACGGGAGAAAGCAGGGGACCUUCGGGCCUUGCGCUAUCAGAUGAGCCUAGGUCGGAUUAGCUAGUUGGUGAGGUAAUGGCUCACCAAGGCGACGAUCCGUAACUGGUCUGAGAGGAUGAUCAGUCACACUGGAACUGAGACACGGUCCAGACUCCUACGGGAGGCAGCAGUGGGGAAUAUUGGACAAUGGGCGAAAGCCUGAUCCAGCCAUGCCGCGUGUGUGAAGAAGGUCUUCGGAUUGUAAAGCACUUUAAGUUGGGAGGAAGGGUUGUAGAUUAAUACUCUGCAAUUUUGACGUUACCGACAGAAUAAGCACCGGCUAACUCUGUGCCAGCAGCCGCGGUAAUACAGAGGGUGCAAGCGUUAAUCGGAAUUACUGGGCGUAAAGCGCGCGUAGGUGGUUUGUUAAGUUGGAUGUGAAAUCCCCGGGCUCAACCUGGGAACUGCAUUCAAAACUGACUGACUAGAGUAUGGUAGAGGGUGGUGGAAUUUCCUGUGUAGCGGUGAAAUGCGUAGAUAUAGGAAGGAACACCAGUGGCGAAGGCGACCACCUGGACUAAUACUGACACUGAGGUGCGAAAGCGUGGGGAGCAAACAGGAUUAGAUACCCUGGUAGUCCACGCCGUAAACGAUGUCAACUAGCCGUUGGAAGCCUUGAGCUUUUAGUGGCGCAGCUAACGCAUUAAGUUGACCGCCUGGGGAGUACGGCCGCAAGGUUAAAACUCAAAUGAAUUUGACGGGGGCCCGCACAAGCGGUGGAGCAUGUGGGUUUAAUUUCGAAGCAACGCGAAGAUCUUUACCAGGCCUUGACAUCCAAUGAACUUUCUAAGUGCUCGGGACAUUGAGACAGUGCUGCAUGCUGUCGUCAGCUCGUGUCGUGAGAUGUGUUAAGUUCCGGUACGAGCGCAACCGGUGUCUAAGUUAACAGCACGUAUGUGUCACUCUAAGGAACUGCCGGUGACUAUCGGAGGAAAGUUGAG